This 67-nucleotide transfer RNA is filed under the name Marmota monax (woodchuck). RNAcentral's name for it is "tRNA.Thr". Lineage: Eukaryota; Metazoa; Chordata; Mammalia; Rodentia; Sciuridae. The record is from RNAcentral.
GGUUUUGGCUCAGUGGUAGAGUGCUUGCCUGGUAUGGGUGACACCCUGGGUUCCAUCCCCAGCACCA